AUACAGAGGGUGCGAGCGUUAAUCGGAAUUACUGGGCGUAAAGCGCGCGUAGGCGGCUUGGUCAGUCGGAUGUGAAAGCCCUGGGCUCAACCUGGGAAUUGCAUUCGAUACUGCCAAGCUAGAGUAUGAGAGAGGGAAGUGGAAUUUCCGGUGUAGCGGUGAAAUGCGUAGAUAUCGGAAAGAACACCAGUGGCGAAGGCGACUUCCUGGCCCAAUACUGACGCUGAGGUGCGAAAGCGUGGGGAGCGAACAGCAUUAGAAACCCUAGUAGUCC
Molecule: ribosomal RNA, 274 nt
Filed under: uncultured bacterium
Lineage: Bacteria
Description: partial 16S ribosomal RNA
Rfam family: Bacterial small subunit ribosomal RNA
Source: RNAcentral